Molecule: ribosomal RNA, 465 nt
Filed under: uncultured bacterium
Lineage: Bacteria
Description: bacterial SSU rRNA
Rfam family: Bacterial small subunit ribosomal RNA
Source: RNAcentral
GGACCCGCACAAGCGGUGGAUGAUGUGGUUUAAUUCGAUGCAACGCGAAAAACCUUACCCACCUUUGACAUGUACGGAAUCCUUUAGAGAUAGAGGAGUGCUCGAAAGAGAACCGUAACACAGGUGCUGCAUGGCUGUCGUCAGCUCGUGUCGUGAGAUGUUGGGUUAAGUCCCGCAACGAGCGCAACCCUUGUCAUUAGUUGCUACAUUCAGUUGGGCACUCUAAUGAGACUGCCGGUGACAAACCGGAGGAAGGUGGGGAUGACGUCAAGUCCUCAUGGCCCUUAUAGGUGGGGCUACACACGUCAUACAAUGGCUGGUACAGAGGGUUGCCAACCCGCGAGGGGGAGCCAAUCCCAUAAAGCCAGUCGUAGUCCGGAUCGCAGUCUGCAACUCGACUGCGUGAAGUCGGAAUCGCUAGUAAUCGCGGAUCAGAAUGUCGCGGUGAAUACGUUCCCGGGUCUU